CGGGUGAUGGAGUUUCCCUGGCGGGACCUGCCUCUGUGCCCCUGCGCCCCUUCCCCGGCAGGUGUCCCGGGAGCGAACGCCGAGGACGAGGACAGCGCGGCCGAGCCGGGGCCCCUGCGCAGACGACCGGAGCCGGCGAGAAGCUGGGGAGCGCCGGGGAGAAUGAUAGAUGCCGUCAUCCCGGUUUUCAGAGGACGGGGCGGUCUUCCUGACUACGGAGCCAUGUGAUGCUGUGGCCCGGGGCCCCGCGAAGAAGGGGAGCCAGCGAGGAAGCACGAGGUCCAGUGCAAAUACCGGCAGUGGCGGUGGGAAACUGAAGCGGAGCUGCGUCCCAGCCGCCUGGCCUUCCUCGUGCUCUCACGUCCCAGAGCGUACACGUAAGCCGUCUCCGAGGGACAAGGUCCUGAGCCUGUGGCAUUUUGUCAGGCUGGCCGGAGUGGUGCCAUGUGCUGCGGAGCACAGGCCAGGUAGACGCCAGAGGUGACCACGCCGACUCCCCGCGUGCCGUCGCUCCUGCCGCGGGCCCCAUGAGAAGCGCAGUGGACAGGAGGAAGCUGGAGCAGCUGUACGACAGGUACAGAGACCCACAAGAUGAAAAUAAAAUUGGAAUUGACGGGAUUCAACAGUUUUGUGAUGACUUAAGCCUGGAUCCUGCCAGCGUCAGCGUUUUGGUCAUUGCGUGGAAAUUCAGGGCAGCGACGCAAUGUGAAUUUACCAAAAAGGAAUUUGUAGAUGGCAUGACAGAGCUCGGGUGUGACAGCACGGAGAAGCUGAGGGCCCUUCUGCCAAGGCUGGAGCAGGAACUGAAGGACACGGCGAAGUUUAAGGAUUUUUAUCAGUUUACCUUCACCUUUGCUAAGAACCCCGGGCAGAAGGGUUUAGAUUUAGAAAUGGCUGUUGCAUACUGGAAUUUGGUGUUAUCUGGAAGGUUUAAAUUUUUAGAUCUUUGGAACAGCUUUUUAUUGGAACAUCACAAAAGAUCAAUCCCAAGGGACACUUGGAACCUUCUGCUAGAUUUUGGAAAUAUGAUUGCAGAUGAUAUGUCUAACUAUGACGAAGAAGGUACGGGAAGUUGUAGUGCUUCAGAUGAUGUCCAGAAAUGCUGAUGUGCAGACUGCUGGGGGCAGGACGGUGGUGACCGGCUCCAGCUGCCUCUGGGCCCCGCCCCUCAGUGCAGUGGGGGUGGUGGUGAUGACAGUCUUACCCUCUUUUUAUGUCUUGUCAACCACACGAGAAAAAUAGGGCUUCGUAUUUAGUUUAAUUUAGGAGGACAACCCCCUAAAUAAACUAAAGCAUUUCAAAAGUGGAUGUGCAGAGAGCCCUGCGGCAGAGCCGUGGGACCAAACGGGUUUGGAAGCCGCUCUUCCGGGUACGUAAUCCUGGGUGGCGCCUCAGGCUAGGCAUUCUACCAUGUGAAGAUUCCAGCUGGUAUAACAUGAUCACAUAUUCAUGGUCCCCACCCUGAGAUGUUUGAGGACAGCCGGUCAGGGAGCAUGUAUGUGCCCGCCACCAUGGGCACUGUGCCGCUUUAGGGAAGGACACAGUCUCAGCCUGCCCACUGCAUGCUCCCUCAGCGCCCAGCUUGGAGGCGACCGCUCUGGGGCACCUGUGGUGUUGCAUGUCUGUGUGCGUCCCCAGCACUCAGCACAGAGCGGGCACUUAAUAAACGUGAAUAGUUGACCAUAGACAGAAGCCCAGGGAGUGUGGCUGCGGUGGCGAGACGUGGCUGGUCUGCAGAGGAGGGGCCGGCAGCUUACAGUGAGUGUGUUCCUGGCCAGCGGGGUUGGGGUGGUCCGGGCUACCUGGGGGUGGUGGGGAGGCUGGGCCUGGAGAGGGAACCGGCCCAGGGAAAAAAGGGUGCAGUGUUUUGCAGGGCGGGUGGAAGGCCCUGUGCCUGGUCCCGACUGCCUGGAACAGGGGCCCGGGCCUUGCAGCCGGCCGGCCCCGAGUGCCUGGUCGCUAGAGGCCACGUCCGCACGGGAGCACCAGUGCUGGCCUGGGGUCUGGCUACAGCAAGAGGAAUGGAUCUCACUGGCAAUCCCUCCAGAGAGAUGGGCUGUGAGACGACUCACUUGAGCUCCUGAAACACAAAUAUUGACUGCAGAAAGAAUGCUCUGGAUAUAAAAAUACUGCUCUAGACUGAUGUUCAUGUGAACGUGCUUUCACGGUUCCUGACAUGCUGCAGUCUGCAUGGUGACAGCACCCGUCACCAUGGGAUUCCAGGAACAUUUUAUCAUGUACUGUUUACAAGUCAGCUGGUCUGUCCUGUCCACUGUCAUUUGAAUGAACUUCCGAAAAAGUUCUGUAAAGUAUGCUUUAGGAAAAAAAAAAGUAUUUUAUUACGUUUAAAAAGACAUUUUUCCCUGAAAAGUAUUUCUUUUAUGAGCAACGGAUUAUAGAUUCAGAAAUGGAGUGAGUUUGUUCCCUCCGGCCCUCUGCAUGGUUGCGCACAUUCGGAAGCUACAGUGCACACCGUUACCCGAGACGCCCAGACGGGUGUGACCGUCGUAUUACCGUCUGUGAGAAGAGGCCGUCCGGCGAGGCAUGGACUCUGCCGUGUUGUCUGAUGGUGGAGCCUGUGAUGUUACCUGUUCCUCCUGUUGGGAAAGCUCCUGUGUGUUCUAAAAAUCACUGUGCAGACCCUGCAUUAUAUUUGAAAAGAUCUUCACGUCCCAAGUGUGCCUGCUACCCUGUCUGCAGUCCCAUUUAUGAGACAGAUAAACUGGGGUCACUUCACAGGAGAGGAAGUUCACAGUGGACUUUCCGUGAAUGGGCAGUGUGCUUAAAAUGUGUAGUUUGAUGUGACUUUCAAAAUUGGGAUUCAGCAUUUCAGGAAGCUUCUGUGCCCAUGGGAGGUGUUCGUGUGCUUGCCAUGUGUGAACUGUUUAUACUUCCAAAGAGGAGUCGUUCAGAGAGGCCACAGGCUGUCCGGGUGGGAAAGGGGGCUUGAGGCCUGCAGGCCAGAGUCUGGGCUGGGUUGGCCCCUACACAGAUGCACGACUGAGUCCCGCAGUGUCUCCUGGGCCUGUACUUCCCCGUCUGCCACAGGGUCGACAGGCCCGUCUCUGCCUGCCAGCCUGUGGUUCUAAGAGAGCAUGCACUUUAUGUAAUAAAAACCUCAACAGCUUUAAAGCAUCCUUCGAGGCUUCGCAGAUUCUUGCCGUGUAAGUGUUCACGGAGGAGGCUGUAGGUCUGCGACACCUUGUUCUUAAGAUUCGAAGUUGUGGGAGUCGGGGGGGCUUCUGUGCACUUGGUCAUCAGUAAAUAACGGAACAUUAGUGGCCGGACAAAGGCUCUUCAAGAUUGCGGUUUCUUCUAUUCUAUUUAUUUAAAGCACGCGUGCCAUGAAAAGUGCUAAGAGCUUUGGAAACGUUGAAAUAAAAUAUGUUCUCUGGUGUGGCA
Molecule: RNA transcript, 3402 nt
Organism: Lynx canadensis (Canada lynx)
Lineage: Eukaryota; Metazoa; Chordata; Mammalia; Carnivora; Felidae
Gene: DCUN1D2
Gene name: defective in cullin neddylation 1 domain containing 2
Exons: 7
Source: RefSeq, a predicted model, not a curated record